RNAcentral lists this unclassified non-coding RNA (1448 nucleotides) under Hevea brasiliensis (rubber tree). The record is from RNAcentral. Lineage: Eukaryota; Viridiplantae; Streptophyta; Magnoliopsida; Malpighiales; Euphorbiaceae.
CAGUUCCAUAAAAUUGUUCAGGUACAUACCAAAUAUGUAUAACUUACAAAUUUAAACAAUCAUACAUCACAAAUUCUAACAAAGUAGAAAAUAUGCAGUGCUCGACAACAUAAAUAUUGAUACCCGGUCGCUUACGUGAUGAAGAUGAAAAUAAAUUGAAAGAUGAUUCAACUCCCAGGUCAAGAAUGAAUGGUAAUAUUGGUGGGCAUAUGCUCAUUCACCUUCUGAAGAAGGGACUCUGAGUCCUCACAUACUAACUUGGGUGUCUCCACAUUUGCGCACACUAUUGUUCCAUUCCCAGUGUCAUCAUUAAAUUUGUUGCUGUUGUCUGAUUUCAAAUUGCCCAGGCUGUGCCGGACCGCCCGACGACGGGAUUGGGUGUUCUUGUCUGCACUGGAUGGAUUAGUUGUCUCGCUACAGCUCUUCCUUCGUCCAAGUUUUGGCGACUUGGCACGAGUAGUGGGCAGCUUUUUAAGUUCCAGCUUAGGAGGAGGUCCUUCUUGGUAGAAGCUAGGCAUAGGAGUAGCUUUGAAAGUCAAGCUCUUCCUGAGUUGCUUUAGUGCCGCCUCUCUUUCUUCCUUUGUCCUAGCUUCACACUGAUUUUUCUCUGCCUCUAAAGCUUGAUGUUUUUCUUCCAAUUUUGAGUAGAACUCCCGUCGUUUCUCUGCACGCUCACUGCAUCUAAAAGUAGGGACAGACACCAUAAGAGAAUUGCCUUUGGAAGAUCUCACAGACGCCGCAGAUAAAGAGCAAGCAUCCUCUUCAUCUUUAUGCUUUUUAUUGUCUGGCUGCAGAGGUUUCCUUGAAGUGAGAGGUGAGUUAUUCUGCAACUUUUUCUGCAUGUUCUGUAACUGGACAGGUUUAUUACCAUUGCCAGCAACAUUAGCAACAGGAGGAUGAGUACCGCCAGAAGCACGUUUUUCAGUUGCAAGAGCAAAUGGUUGGGGAACAGUAUACUUUGCCCGUGCAGUUCCACCAUUCAGAGACUUUGAGGCUGGCUUAACAGUAGCCUCCGAGUUUACAUGAUCAGUCAGCUUCUGCGCGGAACUGUUUGCUUUCAUCUGCUCCGGUUUUUCAGCACCUAAAUUCAAGUCAUUGAUAGGAGGUUCUUCUUCGUCUCCGCAGAACAAUGAGGCCUUGACAGGACCAUCCAAGGUGGUGUUGUACUUGACUUGAUAAUCUUCAGAUUCUAUUGUUCGAUGUAAGUAUUGAGAAUCAGAUACACCUUCUAUAACUUCAUCAGAUCCAGAAGAUUGAGAAAUCUUGGAAGCAUGGCCAUUUCCUUGCUUGGGGCCAAUACCGGCCGAACAAAUAACCACACAGUCUGAUUCUUCAUCUGUAGACAUGUCUAUAAUUUCUUUCCUCAUAUUGAAAGUCUCCGAGCUCUCGAUCUGAGAGAGAUCUCGCCGGCGAUCGCCGGAGCUGCUCUGUAUCGCUGUAACUAGCAG